Molecule: ribosomal RNA, 264 nt
Filed under: uncultured bacterium
Lineage: Bacteria
Description: partial 16S ribosomal RNA
Rfam family: Bacterial small subunit ribosomal RNA
Source: RNAcentral
UACGUAGGGUGCGAGCGUGUCCGGAAUUAUUGGGCGUAAAGGGCUCGUAGGCGGUCUGUCACGUCGGGAGUGAAAACACGGGGCUUAACCCCGUGCCUGCUUCCGAUACGGGCAGACUAGAGGUAUGCAGGGGAGAACGGAAUUCCUGGUGUAGCGGUGAAAUGCGCAGAUAUCAGGAGGAACACCGGUGGCGAAGGCGGGUCUCUGGGCAACACUGACGCUGAGGAGCGAAAGCGUGGGGAGCGAACAGGAUAGAUACCCCAG